RNAcentral lists this ribosomal RNA (116 nucleotides) under Aotus nancymaae (Ma's night monkey). Lineage: Eukaryota; Metazoa; Chordata; Mammalia; Primates; Aotidae. The record is from RNAcentral.
GACAACGGAAGCUCUUUUCCAUGAAAUAGCUCAAGAGGAUCUUGAAAGCUAAGCAGGGUCAGGCCUGGUUAGUACUUGGGCGGGAGACCUCCUGGGAAUACCAGGUGCUGUAGGCU